Non-coding RNA from Potamilus streckersoni, 73 nucleotides. The record is from the annotation of a GenBank genome assembly. NCBI's taxonomy places the organism in Eukaryota, Metazoa, Mollusca, Bivalvia, Unionida, Unionidae.
GCUUCGGUGGCCUAGUGGUUCUAGCGUCCGCCUCGGAUGCGGGAGGUUGCGGCUUCAAUCCCCGGCCGAGACA